Long non-coding RNA from Hipposideros armiger (great roundleaf bat), 1441 nucleotides. RefSeq lists it as uncharacterized. The transcript is spliced from 3 exons. NCBI's taxonomy places the organism in Eukaryota, Metazoa, Chordata, Mammalia, Chiroptera, Hipposideridae. The record is from RefSeq and is a predicted model, not a curated record.
GAGAUGCUGACUUCCAGCAACAUGAAAAGACAAGUGAGGAGGAGGAUUACGGGAACUUCCUCUCCUUGUGGUGUGGCCCGGUCAUAAUGGUGUUGUGGUUACGCGGCACAGGCUCAUUAAAACAAUAAGUAAACCACAACCGCUGUAAUUAGGAGUUCUCUUUUCCUGCACGCUUUGCUGAAAGACGAGGCGCCUGGGUCCCUGUCUCCUGCCAAUUACCAGCAGCGCUCCUGCGAUAUGGAGAGAUUAAUUUAGAACAGCAAGGAGCAGAAAUGGCUUCCACGCUAAUUCUUGCAAGGAUGAAAUGAGAAAAUGACUGCAAAGGAUUUAGCAGAGCACUUGGCAUGAAUGACAUUUGGAGUUUCCCUUCAUGGAACAAGUGAUCUCUCCAACCCUGAAGCUGCCCUAGUUCAAGGCCAGGGUCUGGUGUGGGGGUGAGUGGAAGGCACACAGCACCACCUACUGAACUGGGAUUUUCCAUAACCCAGAAGGAGGCCAAAAUGGGAGAGCUGUGUCGCAGCAGAGUGCUGCGCUCCAAGUUUAAACAGAGCUGAAGUGAAAGCUACAGGCCUGUUAAAAAGACAAUGUCUGCUGGAAGCCAAGGGUUAUUCGGCUUACCUUGGCGUCCAUGCUCUGACCAUUCAAUGACCAUCAGCCAUUGUUGGAGUGUGUUGGUGGCUCUGGGAAGCGGGCAGCCCGGUGGCUUGGAUCUCAGCUGUCCCCCAGGGGUUCUCUGGGGCUCCUUUUCUGCAUAACUUGGCUGCACUUCAGCAAGAAGUGGGAACUUGUGUGCCGACACCAAUGGGGGUCCUGGAAUCUUUUCUGAGGUGUGUGGGCCUUCCGUGGAAACCUUCAACAGCUGGAUGGAUGACCUUGAAUAAAAGGACAAGGUCCUCAAAGUCUGGAUUUCUCCGUGACUCACAACCAAAUAACAGUUCAUGUUGGCCUAGUUGCCUGCUCAUCUCUUCAGCAUCUGCACAUCAUUAGCUGAGGGAAAUAGUGGGGGAACCCAAACUCUAAAUGCUCCUCACCUUGAACUUGCUAACACAGAGUCCCCUGAAACACCUGACCCAAGCCCUGGUGUGUAGCAGAUGCUUACACAUGCCCAGUACACAAGUGAGUGAAGCCCACUGGUCACCUGGCCUGGAACUGGGAGGUGGUUCUCCCCCUUGACUGAUGGCACUGCAACCCCAUUCACAUCCUUCCCACAUGGCAUCCUUGGCUCCUUCUUUCAAUACAUUGGCCUCUGCCUCCACCUUCCUGCCCCUACGGUCUAUGAAAUGGGAUCCUGGUGACUAUCAUGUGUGAUGCUUGGGGAACCCAGGCAGUGACACCCUUAAUUAAGGAGAGCCCUGACUAGGUUUAUUGCACUGAUUUAUUCCCAGUUUAUAGAGAAAGGUUUGGAGCGUAGUAGGUUCUCAAUAAAUAUCUGCUGAAUGAC